CCGUAACUAUAACGGUCCUAAGGUAGCGAAAUUCCUUGUCGGGUAAGUUCCGACCCGCACGAAAGGCGUAAUGAUUUGAGCGCUGUCUCGACAAUGCAUCCGGUGAAAUUGAAGUACCAGUGAAGAUGCUGGUUACCUGCGCCAGGACGGAAAGACCCCAUGGAGCUUUACUCCAGUCUGGUACUGGGACUCGGUAUUGCAUGUACAGGAUAGGUGGGAGGCUGAGAAAUGGUAACGCCAGUUGCCAUGGAGCCGCUGUUGGGAUACCACCCUUGCAGUAUUGGGUUUCUAACCAGCCGCCGUGACCCGGCGGUGGGACAAUGCCAGGCGGGGAGUUUGACUGGGGCGGUCGCCUCCGAAAGGGUAUCGGAGGCGCUCAAAGGUUCCCUCAGAAUGGUUGGAAACCAUUCGAAGAGUGCAAAGGCAGAAGGGAGCUUGACUGCGACACCGACGGGUGGAGCAGGUACGAAAGUAGGACUUAGUGAUCCGGUGGUAUGAAAGUGGGAUUGCCAUCGCUCAACGGAUAAAAGCUACCCUGGGGAUAACAGGCUUAUCACUCCCAAGAGUUCACAUCGACGGAGUGGUUUGGCACCUCGAUGUCGGCUCAUCGCAUCCUGGGGCUGUAGUAGGUCCCAAGGGUUGGGCUGUUCGCCCAUUAAAGCGGUACGCGAGCUGGGUUCAGAACGUCGUGAGACAGUUCGGUCCCUAUCCGGCGUGGGCGUAGGAUAUCUGAGAGGAGCUGUCCUUAGUACGAGAGGACCGGGAUGGACGGACCGCUGGUGUACCGGUUAGACUGCCAAGUCUACGGCCGGGUAGCCAAGUCCGGAAGGGAUAAACGCUGAAGGCAUCUAAGCGUGAAGCCCCCCUCAAGAUGAGAUGUCCCAUUCGAAAGAAGUAAACCCCCUUGAAGACGACGAGGUAGAUAGGGCAGGGGUGGAAGUGCAGUAAUGCACGGAGCUGACUGUUACUAAUAGGGUGAGGGCUUGACCAA
This 991-nucleotide ribosomal RNA is filed under the name human gut metagenome. Its description in RNAcentral is "bacterial LSU rRNA". It matches the Rfam family "Bacterial large subunit ribosomal RNA", at positions 1934 to 2925 of the family's 2925-position model. The record is from RNAcentral.